UGGUGAACCAGCUGUUGUGUCUUGAAGCCCCUACCAAAGUUCAGAUGAUGGCAUCAGCCCACCAGCCAUUUUUUCCAGACGGAGCAGCACAUCCCAGCAAGAACUGUACAUCCAGCCACUAGCCCAGCCAUUUACAAGCAACCGAACAGGCUGCUUAUCUCUGCCGCGGGAACGGAGGGGGGCUUAGCGCGCGGAGUCCGCUUCCUCCUGUGCUGCGCCGCCCCUCCCACACUGCGUUGUGCGCUCCGAGCCAUUGGCGCAGUGGCCGCGGCGCCAUCCGUGCGUCGGCCCUGCGACCAGCUGGCCCUCUGGCUCCGGUUCCGGCUCCCACUCCCACCGCCGGCGCUCCUCUCCCGGCGCCCCGUACGCUUCUGCUGCGGCAAGCCUCCGACGAGCUCCUGCUGAGGCGGCCGCACUGGAAAGAGGAUCCGGCCUCUGCCCCCGACGAAGUGGAAGACAGGGAGGGGUGCCACCACUGGGGCCCGCAUCGACGCCGUGGAGGAGGGAGACAAGAAGGCCCAAGGCUGCCGUUGACGCUCUUGCGAGCCCAAGUGAAUAUCAUCACGUGCUUUCUUUGCUUGACUGCUUGUUCACCGUGCAAUUUGGCUAUGGCACAUUUAUCUAACAACAAGAUUCUGCAAGUUGGCUUGAGGUUCAAAAGUCCAAAAGAGGCUUGGCUGUUUUGGGUGGCUUACAGGGUAGUACAGGUUUCGAUGUGAGGAAAAGAUACACAAGCUUUAGCAAAUUUGAUGCCAAGGUGACUUCAUGCCUGUUUGUUUGUGCCAAUGAGGGUCAUCGAAGAAAAAAGCUAACAGAUCGUGUGACAAAGUGUUUCAGAGGUGAAACCAGAACUGAUUGCAAAGCUCGAAUGACUCUUACAUUGGUCGAGGGGAAGGAAAUUAUGAAAUUAUUGAGGUUGUGUUGGAAUUGAUCUCUUGGCCCGAUCCAACGAUCGGGCCAGACCCUUGAUGUGCCCCGAUCGUAGGCGCCCAGCCUGUUGUGGCAGGUGGGCCCCCCGUCGCACAGCGCCAUAAAAGGGAGGUGUGGUCCAGUGUUUCGGUGUCAAAAGAUUGUAGCCGCCACAGAAACCCCACCGAUAGCCCUAACCCCGUCCGAUCGCAAGGGGGCGCUGGUGCUGAUGGGAAGUUCCACUAGCAUCGCUCUUCGCCAUCACGCCAUCCUCUCCAAGGGCCGUAAAGGGCAACGCAGGUGGAGUCAUCGAUGGCCAUCGACGUCUUCCUCUGCACCACCUCUGGCCGCGAGUGGAUCUGGUCAACCUCUACCUCUCUCUCUCUCAUUCGUGUACUAGUUUUAGGCAAGUAACUCGUGAUGUAUUCAUGUAUCUAUGACAAGAACAAGUCCCCUAUGUUCGAUCUAUGCGCACA
This is a long non-coding RNA of Panicum virgatum (switchgrass), 1385 nucleotides long. RefSeq lists it as uncharacterized. The transcript has 2 exons. NCBI's taxonomy places the organism in Eukaryota, Viridiplantae, Streptophyta, Magnoliopsida, Poales, Poaceae. The record is from RefSeq and is a predicted model, not a curated record.